GUCGAGCGGUAAGGCCUUUCGGGGUACACGAGCGGCGAACGGGUGAGUAACACGUGGGUGAUCUGCCCUGCACUUCGGGAUAAGCCUGGGAAACUGGGUCUAAUACCGGAUAUGACCUCCUAUCGCAUGGUGGGUGGUGGAAAGAUUUAUCGGUGCAGGAUGGGCCCGCGGCCUAUCAGCUUGUUGGUGGGGUAAUGGCCUACCAAGGCGACGACGGGUAGCCGACCUGAGAGGGUGACCGGCCACACUGGGACUGAGACACGGCCCAGACUCCUACGGGAGGCAGCAGUGGGGAAUAUUGCACAAUGGGCGAAAGCCUGAUGCAGCGACGCCGCGUGAGGGAUGACGGCCUUCGGGUUGUAAACCUCUUUCAGCAGGGACGAAGCGCAAGUGACGGUACCUGCAGAAGAAGCACCGGCUAACUACGUGCCAGCAGCCGCGGUAAUACGUAGGGUGCAAGCGUUGUCCGGAAUUACUGGGCGUAAAGAGUUCGUAGGCGGUUUGUCGCGUCGUUUGUGAAAACCAGCAGCUCAACUGCUGGCUUGCAGGCGAUACGGGCAGACUUGAGUACUGCAGGGGAGACUGGAAUUCCUGGUGUAGCGGUGAAAUGCGCAGAUAUCAGGAGGAACACCGGUGGCGAAGGCGGGUCUCUGGGCAGUAACUGACGCUGAGGAACGAAAGCGUGGGUAGCGAACAGGAUUAGAUACCCUGGUAGUCCACGCCGUAAACGGUGGGCGCUAGGUGUGGGUUCCUUCCACGGAAUCCGUGCCGUAGCUAACGCAUUAAGCGCCCCGCCUGGGGAGUACGGCCGCAAGGCUAAAACUC
RNAcentral lists this ribosomal RNA (825 nucleotides) under Rhodococcus sp. MZ0398J2. Its description in RNAcentral is "bacterial SSU rRNA". It matches the Rfam family "Bacterial small subunit ribosomal RNA", at positions 61 to 902 of the family's 1533-position model. Lineage: Bacteria; Bacillati; Actinomycetota; Actinomycetes; Mycobacteriales; Nocardiaceae. The record is from RNAcentral.